AGUGAACGCUGGCGGUAGGCCUAACACAUGCAAGUCGAACGGCAGCACAGUAAGAGCUUGCUCUUACGGGUGGCGAGUGGCGGACGGGUGAGGAAUACAUCGGAAUCUACUUUUUUGUGGGGGAUAACGUAGGGAAACUUACGCUAAUACCGCAUACGACCUACGGGUGAAAGCAGGGGAUCUUCGGACCUUGCGCGAUUGAAUGAGCCGAUGUCGGAUUAGCUAGUUGGCGGGGUAAAGGCCCACCAAGGCGACGAUCCGUAGCUGGUCUGAGAGGAUGAUCAGCCACACUGGAACUGAGACACGGUCCAGACUCCUACGGGAGGCAGCAGUGGGGAAUAUUGGACAAUGGGCGCAAGCCUGAUCCAGCCAUACCGCGUGGGUGAAGAAGGCCUUCGGGUUGUAAAGUCCUUUUGUUGGGAAAGAAAAGCAGCAGGUUAAUACCCCGCUGUUCUGACGGUACCCAAAGAAUAAGCACCGGCUAACUUCGUG
RNAcentral lists this ribosomal RNA (492 nucleotides) under uncultured bacterium. RNAcentral's name for it is "partial 16S ribosomal RNA". It matches the Rfam family "Bacterial small subunit ribosomal RNA", at positions 29 to 507 of the family's 1533-position model. The record is from RNAcentral.